GUGUUCACUUGGGCCCUACAGAUACUAAAACUGGAAGGAUACAGAAAAGAUUAGCACGGCCUCUGUGCAAGAAUGACCCAAAGGUUGCCAGCAGUCUUU
Small nuclear RNA from Vicugna pacos (alpaca), 99 nucleotides. The record is from Ensembl. NCBI's taxonomy places the organism in Eukaryota, Metazoa, Chordata, Mammalia, Artiodactyla, Camelidae.